GUUGUUGCGGUUAAAAGCUCGUAGUUGGAUUUCUGUCGGUGAGGUUCAGUCCGCCCAAGUGGUUGGUACGUGAUCCGCCACCGGCAUCUUCCUGGGGAAUGUGUCUGCUCUUAAUUGGGUGGUACAUAAGCCAGGACUUUUACUUUGAAGAAAUGAGAGUGUUUCAAGCAGGCAUGCGCCGUGAAUACGUUAGCAUGGGAUAAUAGCAUCGGACCUCGUUCCAAAGCUGUUGGUUUCUUGGACCGAGGUAAAGGUGAAUAGGGAUUGUUGGGGGCAUUCGUAUUUGACUGUCAGAGGUGAAAUUCUUGUAUUUGUUGAAGACGGACUACUGCGAAAGCAUCUGCCAAAGAUGUUCUCAUUGAUCAAGAACGAAAGUUAGGUGAUCGAAGACGAUCAGAUACCGUCCCAGUCUUAACCAUAAACUAUGCCGACUGGAGAUCGGGGGUCGUUAAUUAUGUGACGCCCUCUGCAUCUUGAGAGAAAUCAAAGUCUUUGGGUUCCGGGGGGAGUAUGGUCGCAAGGCU
This 524-nucleotide ribosomal RNA is filed under the name uncultured Syndiniales. RNAcentral describes it as "SSU rRNA". It matches the Rfam family "Eukaryotic small subunit ribosomal RNA", at positions 609 to 1138 of the family's 1831-position model. The record is from RNAcentral. Lineage: Eukaryota; Dinophyceae; Syndiniales.